RNAcentral lists this ribosomal RNA (193 nucleotides) under Scutellonema bradys. RNAcentral describes it as "partial 18S ribosomal RNA". It matches the Rfam family "Eukaryotic small subunit ribosomal RNA", at positions 1641 to 1831 of the family's 1831-position model. The record is from RNAcentral. Lineage: Eukaryota; Metazoa; Nematoda; Chromadorea; Rhabditida; Hoplolaimidae.
UUGAUUACGUCCCUGCCCUUUGUACACACCGCCCGUCGCUGCCCGGGACUGAGCCAUUUCGAGAAACUCGGGGAUCGGUGGCCGUCGACGUUUCGGCGCCCUCGGCUGUUGAGAACCGAUUUAAUCGCAGUGGCUUGAACCGGGCAAAAGUCGUAACAAGGUAGCUGUAGGUGAACCUGCUGCUGGAUCAUUA